GUUAGCGGCGGACGGGUGAGUAACACGUGGGUAACCUACCUAUAAGACUGGGAUAACUUCGGGAAACCGGAGCUAAUACCGGAUAACAUUUGGAACCGCAUGGUUCUAAAGUGAAAGAUGGUUUUGCUAUCACUUAUAGAUGGACCCGCGCCGUAUUAGCUAGUUGGUAAGGUAACGGCUUACCAAGGCGACGAUACGUAGCCGACCUGAGAGGGUGAUCGGCCACACUGGAACUGAGACACGGUCCAGACUCCUACGGGAGGCAGCAGUAGGGAAUCUUCCGCAAUGGGCGAAAGCCUGACGGAGCAACGCCGCGUGAGUGAUGAAGGGUUUCGGCUCGUAAAACUCUGUUAUUAGGGAAGAACAAACGUGUAAGUAACUGUGCACGUCUUGACGGUACCUAAUCAGAAAGCCACGGCUAACUACGUGCCAGCAGCCGCGGUAAUACGUAGGUGGCAAGCGUUAUCCGGAAUUAUUGGGCGUAAAGCGCGCGUAGGCGGUUUCUUAAGUCUGAUGUGAAAGCCCACGGCUCAACCGUGGAGGGUCAUUGGAAACUGGGAAACUUGAGUGCAGAAGAGGAAAGUGGAAUUCCAUGUGUAGCGGUGAAAUGCGCAGAGAUAUGGAGGAACACCAGUGGCGAAGGCGACUUUCUGGUCUGUAACUGACGCUGAUGUGCGAAAGCGUGGGGAUCAAACAGGAUUAGAUACCCUGGUAGUCCACGCCGUAAACGAUGAGUGCUAAGUGUUAGGGGGUUUCCGCCCCUUAGUGCUGCAGCUAACGCAUUAAGCACUCCGCCUGGGGAGUACGACCGCAAGGUUGAAACUCAAAGGAAUUGACGGGGACCCGCACAAGCGGUGGAGCAUGUGGUUUUAUUCGAAGCAACGCGAAGAACCUUACCAAAUCUUGACAUCCUUUGAAAACUCUAGAGAUAGAGCCUUCCCCUUCGGGGGACAAAGUGACAGGUGGUGCAUGGUUGUCGUCAGCUCGUGUCGUGAGAUGUUGGGUUAAGUCCCGCAACGAGCGCAACCCUUAAGCUUAGUUGCCAUCAUUAAGUUGGGCACUCUAGGUUGACUGCCGGUGACAAACCGGAGGAAGGUGGGGAUGACGUCAAAUCAUCAUGCCCCUUAUGAUUUGGGCUACACACGUGCUACAAUGGACAAUACAAAGGGCAGCUAAACCGCGAGGUCAUGCAAAUCCCAUAAAGUUGUUCUCAGUUCGGAUUGUAGUCUGCAACUCGACUACAUGAAGCUGGAAUCGCUAGUAAUCGUAGAUCAGCAUGCUACGGUGAAUACGUUCCCGGGUCUUGUACACACCGCCCGUCACACCAC
This 1328-nucleotide ribosomal RNA is filed under the name uncultured Staphylococcus sp. RNAcentral's name for it is "bacterial SSU rRNA". It matches the Rfam family "Bacterial small subunit ribosomal RNA", at positions 91 to 1405 of the family's 1533-position model. The record is from RNAcentral. Lineage: Bacteria; Bacillati; Bacillota; Bacilli; Caryophanales; Staphylococcaceae.